AAUCUGUAAUGCUGUCUGAUUGUAAAAACUGUUGUUGGUUGCCUGCACUGGGACAGCUACCUUCCUUGGAAUCCGUCGUCAUUGCUGGAUUUAAUAUGAUGGAGAAGAUAGGCAAUGAAUUUUACAGUGAUAGUGAUGGUUCUUCUUCUUCUUCUGCGAUCACUAAACCAUUCAAGUCGUUAAAAAGCUUGGAAUUUUCAUGUAUGGCAGAGUGGAUGGAGUGGUCAGUGGUGGAAGUUGAAGGUAACAGAGAAGAAGGUGGUGGAGUUUUCUCAAACCUUAGAAAGCUUGAAUUGUCAAACUGUCCGAAGCUAAAAGGGGAGUGCUUACCGGAUUAUCUUCCGUGUUUGGAAACUCUUUCGAUACGGAAAAGUGACCGCUUGGCGACCUCACUCUCAGGGCAUCAAUACCCAUCGCUGCGUGUAUUGAGAAUAUGGACUUGUCAAAAAAUGAAGACAUUCCCGGAAGGGAGCUUGCCCUCCGAUAUACAGUCAAUUGAAAUUCGGGAAUGCGAUGAACUGGUGUCACUUUUGGAAGAGUGAUGGCCUUCCAAUUUAAAAUCACUUAAAAUUUUCAGUUGUUCGAAGCUGUUCGUUCGGGGCAACAUCACGCAGUGGAAUCUGGGAAUGCUCACCUCUCUUACAUCCUUAGAUAUCAAAGGAAUAGAUGAAGUGGUGGAUACAUUUCCAGACAAGGAAGGGCAGCUUCCCACUUCCCUCACUUCUCUUUACCUAGAUGAUAUUCCAAACCUUAAAUCCCUACACGGAAAGGCCUUCCAACAACUCACCUCCCUUCAAUACUUGUCAAUUGAAGGGUGCAAACAGCUCCAGUGCUUGCCAGAAGAAAGGCUGCCCGCAUCCAUUUUUGAGUUGUGGAUAAGAGAUUGUCCAUUGCUAACGCCACGAUGCCAGAGAGAAACAGGGGAGGAUUGGCCCAAAAUCCAUCACAUCCCGAGCAUAAUCAUAGAUUUCCAUAAAAUAUGAUUACAAUCAUGUCCGCCUUCUCUAUACACAUUUCAGGAUGUCAACAGUUGGUGGCCUCAUUUACAAGAUGUCAAUAUGCGGGUGCUGCAUUUCAUCUCUUAGGAAUUUGAAGACAACAGGUUUCCCAAAAAGUUUAGUCCAAUGGAGAAUUUGGAUUUUCCUGUAAUUAGGUUCACUUGAAAUUACCAGCUGCAAAUCGCUCUUCGCGAACUAUUUUCAUUGAGGUCUCCAAACAGUCAGUUUUGCUCAUAUACUAUGCAAAUGUAAAUGUGAAGAUGUUUUGGAUUUGUUUUCAGAGUAGGGUCUGCUCCGAGAUUAUGUGGUUGAACUCUGCCUAUACCGUUUUCAAAAUCUUAAUCCUUAAGCAGAAAGGGUUUUCAACAUUAAAGAGUUGUCCAUUUCUUACAGUGACGAGUUGCAGUGCUUGCCAGAAGAAGGGCUGCCCACUUGUAUAUUUCUUAUUUGAAAAUCUAUGGAUGUCCGUUGCCAAACCAAUGGUGGCAAUGCGAUGAGAAAAGGGGUAGUAUUUGCCCAAGGUUUUUCCCUAAUGUGUUAAGAUUGAUGAUGAGCUGUGCAUUGAGCAGAUU
Ziziphus jujuba (common jujube) is the source of this 1570-nucleotide long non-coding RNA. RefSeq lists it as uncharacterized. Lineage: Eukaryota; Viridiplantae; Streptophyta; Magnoliopsida; Rosales; Rhamnaceae. The transcript is spliced from 2 exons. The record is from RefSeq and is a predicted model, not a curated record.